RNAcentral lists this long non-coding RNA (502 nucleotides) under Elaeis guineensis (African oil palm). RNAcentral's name for it is "long non-coding RNA (EGUI_LNC011336)". Lineage: Eukaryota; Viridiplantae; Streptophyta; Magnoliopsida; Arecales; Arecaceae. The record is from RNAcentral.
CUACCGGCGAUGGCCUCCUAGGCACCCAGCAGACCUUGGCAACAGUGACGAGCUUCGUGGCCUUGGUGAUCUAUGCAUAAGCUUGGCCAUAUGUGACACCGCAUUCCACCGAUAGUCUACCUGCUUGGGUGCACGACAAGUAUUUGGUGAUUUGUUGCACAGACACUAGUUGUACUGUGUUUGCAUAAACUCGCUUUGUGGUGCCCACUUUAGCUGCUUAACUGUGUGUUGCAUCCUGUGUGAGAAUUGUGUUUGCAUAAAUUUGCUUUGUGUGCCCACUUUAGCCACUCAACAACCACCUGUUGCAUUGUGAGUUCCUUAUAGGAUGCUUCUAGAGUAUCUUGUGUAUAUUGGCCUCAUUGCAUCAUAACAUUUAAUAGAAUCAUCGCUCUGCUAUGGAUGUUGAACUUACUAAUUCAAUUUACUAUCUGAAUGCCGUAGUGCUUUUUUAUUGAAAUGGUAUGGUAUCGAUACGAUGGUAUGUACAAAAUUGACAUAAAAA